UGCAAAGUUCAUAUCAACUUUGUUUUUAAUAUAUAUUAAUAUAAUAUAAAUCAAUUUUGACAAAACAAAUUUUAUCUGUAGGAAAAUUGCCUCUAAAAUAAUGCCAGGUAGCUGGAAAGAACCACAGAAGAAGGUAAUGUAAAUAUAAAUGUGUGUUGCUAGUAUAAGACAAAAAACACACACAGAUAUCUCCUUUACUAAUCACCUCUUCAUAUGAUCGAAUCUACACAAACAGACUGACAGCCUGGACUGCUCAGGGUAAGUGGAGGACACUCUGCCAGUAGUAAGAUGUAAAUGUUGAUUUAAAAUAAUAACUUGCUUUUUUAUUUAGUAUGCUCUCUACAUUGCCACUGGAAGAGCAUUUGAUUUCAGUCAGGAAGACAUGCCAAAAAUUAGAAGAUGGUGGUGUCAUCUCUUACUUCACAAAGCCAGCAUUAAAGCCAAGACUUCGGUCUUCACUUUCCACACGAGAAGAAGGACAUUCUGUGCCCCACGGGCAGUGCU
This is a long non-coding RNA of Polypterus senegalus (gray bichir), 504 nucleotides long. RefSeq lists it as uncharacterized. Lineage: Eukaryota; Metazoa; Chordata; Cladistia; Polypteriformes; Polypteridae. The record is from RefSeq and is a predicted model, not a curated record. The transcript has 3 exons.